This 492-nucleotide ribosomal RNA is filed under the name uncultured bacterium. Its description in RNAcentral is "partial 16S ribosomal RNA". It matches the Rfam family "Bacterial small subunit ribosomal RNA", at positions 29 to 507 of the family's 1533-position model. The record is from RNAcentral.
AGUGAACGCUGGCGGUAUGCCUAACACAUGCAAGUCGAACGGCAGCACAGUAAGAGCUGGCUCUUACGGGUGGCGUGUGGCGGACGGGUGAGGAGUACAUCGGAAUCUACUUUUUCGUGGGGGAUAACGUAGGGAAACUUACGCUAAUACCGCAUACGACUUACGGGUGAAAGCAGGGGAUAUGUGGACCUUGCGCUAUUCAAUGACUCUAUGUGGUAUUAGCUAGUUGGUGGGCUUACGGCACACCAGGGCGACGAUCCUUAGCUGGCGUGAGAGGAGGAGCAGCUACUCUGGAACGUAGAGACGUCCAAGACUCCUACGGUAGACAGCAGUGGGGAUUAUUGGGGAGUGGGGGCAAGCUUGCCCCGGCAAGACCGCCUAGGUGAGGAAGGCCUUCGGGUUGUAAAGUCCUUUUGUUGGGAAUGAAAUUCUGCAGGUUAAAACCGAGCUGUUAUGACGGUACCCGAAGAAUAAGCUCCGGCUAACUACGUG